Molecule: non-coding RNA, 4075 nt
Organism: Meleagris gallopavo (turkey)
Lineage: Eukaryota; Metazoa; Chordata; Aves; Galliformes; Phasianidae
Source: RefSeq, a predicted model, not a curated record
UGGCCCCCCACCUCUGUCUUCCAGUGGCCUCGAUGGGCCCCCAGCACCGCCUCCACCCUCAGACACCUCCGCCUCCAAGCCCAAGUCGUCCUUGCCCGCGGUUAGCGAUGCCAGGAGCGAUUUGCUUUCAGCCAUUCGUCAAGGCUUCCAGCUCCGCAAGGUGGAAGAGCAGCGGGAGCAGGAGAAGAGGGACGUUGUGGGCAACGACGUGGCAACCAUCCUGUCGCGCCGCAUCGCCGUGGAGUACAGCGACUCUGAGGAUGACUCUUCAGAGUUCGAUGAGGACGAGUGGUCGGAUUAACCACGGCCCCAUCCCCUCUGCUCCCUUCCCUCCUGGGUUAACGGCUUCUUAAAGAACCAGGUGGCCAAACCUUCCACCGUUUCCUUUUCGUCCUGUAACCAAAGAUGUGCCAAGGGUUUUCAGACAACCACCAGCAUAUCUCCCCUCUCCCUCCCCCCCGGGCUUUGGCAGGACUUUGUGCUCUGCCUUUCCAAUAGGUCUCCUCGCAGGCAGUGAGGAUGGAGGCGUUGGGAUUUGGCUGGAGGGAGUGGAACGGUUGCUUAUUUAAGAGAACUAAACCUCCAGAUUCUCGAUGCCACCAGGCAGAGCCCACAAAACCCCUCCGUCCUGAGGGAUUUUUAAAGCAAAGAUGGAUGAUCCUGUUGUGGCCGCGCGGCCUUUCAGAUGAAGGACAUUUUCAGCUAGUUUCCUCAUUGCAACAGCAGGCAGUUGAUCUAGUGGCUCUUCCUUUCCAGUGAAUACUGGUAGUGCUGCAAGAAAACGGGCUUUAAAUGUCUGUUUUCUGCUGCAUCCCACUGUCACAUAAUCAGUUUUCGGCAGUAGUGCACAAUUCUUUCCCCUCUGACCCUCCUCGGUAUUUCCAGACUUACCCCCGCUGUGGGGGCACUCCUGGCUGUAGGGUGCAGAGUGCAUCGGGUGCAAUGUGAGGAGAGGUGUGUUCUUCUUUAAAGCUGCCUUUACCUUCCUCAAAAACCUGCAGGACUGCUUUGCCACGAGGGAGCCUUGCACGAAGCUGCAGCAGGAUGGCUGCUUGGCUUCCUGCUGCAGGGAGAGCAGAGCUGAUGGCUCCGCUUCGUGCUGGGAGCGUGCUUAAAAAACAAAGCAAAACCCAGAAGUGCCUACGGCAGGGAAGCAGUGGGGAGGGCUGCUCUGAGCACCAGCCCCCAUUUGACCAGUUGGAACAGCUGCUUCUCUACUGCAGUGACCGCAUUUUUGCAGAGAGCGUUGCUGCAGGAAUCGCUGGUGUUACUUUUGCUUCCUCCUCCCUUUCACUUCAGGAUUAGGGGGGUCGUGUGCCUAAAACCACCUCGUGUGUGUGAGCUGAGUUGCCCGUUGGUUCCGUCAGACCUAACCCAUCUUGUUCCCCGUGUUUUGUUACUAUAAUUGAUUAGUUAAUUUUUAAGAACAUUUCUUCUCCCAGCUAACCCUGCGGAUUCCUAGGCUGCUCACUACAGGCAGGGGAAGAAAAUGGAGAACUUGAACUAGCUGACCUAGGUGUUACUGCUGUUUUAUAUUACAUAGAAUAUAUGCAUAUCUUGGAAAUCUACAAGCAGAGAUCCCUGUGCUACAGAUGUGCUUUUUGUAUUUUAAUUUGAGCACAACUGUCUCAGAAGGCGAUUCCAAAGCCUUGUGGCUCAGGCUGUUUUGCCUGGGACCGUUAAGACCAAAUCUCCAACCUCUUUGCCUUUCUGAUUGUAAAGUGUUCUGCCAGCCUGUGCCUGUUGUUCCCCCUCCAGCUUGCCUUGUUUGUGGUGUUGCUGAUAGCUGGGAUGCCAGGCCCCUCCGGGGGCUGCUGGGUUGCUGAAAACCUUUCUUAGGGGUUUGAUUGAUGAUUUCAGUUUGUGCCAUCGAGUUCUUCCUGAUUUCUCGCGUGCGUCGGUGCAUUUUUAAGGUGUGCCAGAGCAGACGAGGGCCUGGAGGAGGGGCUUUGCUGGGGUGCGGGUCAGGCUGAGAUCCGGCCCAGCCCUGAGCACAAUCGGGGGAGAUUCACCAGGUUCUCCACCGUCGCAUUUCUCUGUGAUGUCUGUGAGUCGGCGGUGCGGAGCAGGACGCAGAGGAGAUAGCGAGGCAUCCCAGCAGGCUGGGAACAUCUGAGCAGCGCUCAUUGCAGGUUCUGGAGAGGGAAAGAAACCCCUCGAGUGCCAGCGAGCCGUGGUGCAGCGGAGGGACUUGGAAAUGCAAAGUGAUCGGUGCUGCACGCUGGGUGAGGGGGGCUGGAGGAGAAUCGCUGCCUCUGUUUUUCUGCUCCUUCUGUAAGCAUCCUCCUCUGGCUUCUCUUGGAGACGGGUUCCUGGGGAAAACAGACCUGUGAGCUAAGCCAGGCUGACAGCAUUAUCACACAGGGAAGCGCGGAGCUCACAAAUGCCAAACCUGGGUUAAUUUUAAAUUGCCUUAAGUAGAUUUGGCCCCCUGUUGGGAAAGGGGAGCGAGUAUUUCUGUCGUGUGAAAUCCAGAGAAAUGCCACGCUCCUUGCAGCCCAGCGUGUGGGGCAGGGCUGCGCCUCGGGGCGCUGGGGAUGCGGUCACCCCACGCCUGUGGCUCAGGGAUGCUGGGUGGGUGAGAGGUGCAGCUGCAGGUGGAGCUCAGUGCUGCUGUGCCUCCCCUGCUCCGCAGCCCUUCUGGCAGCAGGAGGGAUGCUGCUCUGCCUGCGCGAGCCUGCUUUUACCCACGGCUGCUUCCAGAUCCGGGCUGAGAGGCAGAACUGCAGGAUCCCGAGCGGAGGGAUUGCAGAUAUGACAAAACAAGGGGUGUGAGGUGCCCGUCUGUGAGCUGUGCUGCAGAAUUGCAGAGCGCCGGGCCUCGUAUUUCUGAACCCGGCAGGGGAGGAGGAGAGGUGCCAAAAACAACCUUUGCAAAGCAGAGCAUCUGUGCAGAGCUGCAGGGCCCAGGCCCCGUGCUUUCCUCCUGCCAUCUUUUGCUUCUUGUCGUGGCAGCACCGCGCCGGGCUGGGUGGAGCAGAGAGCCUGGAGCGUUCUGCACGGCCAGAAGCAGAGCCGGCAGCCCUGAGCUCCCCUCUCUGCCUGUCCCCGUGGGUCUCUGCACGGAGCUGGGGCAGCCGCUGCCCUCCUGCCCCGCUCAGACGUUUCUCCUGCUGCCUUUGCCCGCAGUGCUUGGCUGCUGCUGCUGGCAGCCGCUCCCCCAGCGCCCCUCCUUGGCGCACAGGGGUGCUGUGUCCCCAGUCCCUGGCCUCAGCCUGGAGCCUCGUCUGCAGCCGGUGACCUUCACCGCUUUUUCCUCUCCUUAUCAGACCCGGAUGGAGGGAAGGGGCUCUGUGAGGUCCCACGUGGCCGUGGAGCCGCACGGUGUCAUUUCAGGGAAGGGAUAUUUGUGUCCGUGAGCUCAUGAGCGCUGCUGUGCUCUUGGAGCCUCUCGCAGGGCAGGUGCUGCUGCCCCAUCUCAGCUCUCCGUGCUGCUGCAUUUCGGGGCUGCUCAUUCCCCUCCUUUUUUAUUUCUUUAAACAAAGCCUUGAAGUGGGGAAGCGGAUUCGCUGGGUUUUAUUACUGUAUUAACAUUCGUUUAAAUCCAUUUCAGAAACUAACUCCUUUCUCUUCCUGCUUAGAAUGUCUUAGGCAAGCUGUAACCCUUCCAAAGUGCCUUAUUUUUCCUAUAUGACAUAAAUAUAUUUAUAAGAACUGUGCUGUGUGUGUGGCCGGGGCGCACUGCAGAGCGGCGUUGGAGCGAUGCUCUCAGGGUGCCGAAGGGGGGGAAUUGGGUUCCUCACUUCAGACCAAAGGAGUUUCAGCACUGAAACUCUGCUUAAAGAAUUAAAAGAAAGAGAGAACCACCACCUGAGGAGCAGAGUGCUGCCUCCUUGGGGUCGGUUGUUCCCCUCUCAGAGCAAAUGCUGAUGGUGUAAAACCAGGCUUUCCUGCUGCCACUUUCAACCCCUUGGAUGAAGAUCCCAAUUGCAAUUUUUAUUUUAUUUUUUGUAAUGUAGACGUGAAGAAAGAAAAAAAAAAAAAAAAAAAAAACAAGAAAAAACCACAAAGCCAACAAAUCACGACGGUCCUUAUUUUUAAAACCUCAAACUCGAUAAAAAAACCUUUCUAUCCA